AACAUGAUAUUUAGUCGGAAGAACUUUAUCUUCAAUAAGUGUAUCAACAUUAUUCUGUUUUCUCUUUAAUAUUUUGGUUCGGGCACCUUCAAGAAUCGAGCAAUGUCGAUCGACGAACAGUUUCACAUGCAAGUGCAGCAGGGAGGGAAGAUGUCGUACCCCAUGUCACCACCAUCGAUGAAGGUAACAUCAUCAUCAUGCUCCGGUUUUAU
RNAcentral lists this unclassified non-coding RNA (212 nucleotides) under Hevea brasiliensis (rubber tree). The record is from RNAcentral. Lineage: Eukaryota; Viridiplantae; Streptophyta; Magnoliopsida; Malpighiales; Euphorbiaceae.